CCUACGGGUGGCAGCAGUGAGGAAUAUUGGUCAAUGGGCGAGAGCCUGAACCAGCCAAGUCGCGUGAAGGAUGAAGGCUCUAUGGUUUGUAAACUUCUUUUAUAUGGGAAUAAAGUGAGGCACGUGUUCCUUUUUGUAUGUACCCUAUGAAUAAGCAUCGGCUAACUCCGUGCCAGCAGCCGCGGUAAUACGGAGGAUGCGAGCGUUAUCCGGAUUUAUUGGGUUUAAAGGGUGCGUAGGUGGUUAAUUAAGUCAGCGGUGAAGGUUUGUGGCUCAACCAUAAAAUUGCCGUUGAAACUGGAGGAUUUGAGAAGAUUGGAGGAAGGCGGAAUGCGGGGUG
RNAcentral lists this ribosomal RNA (340 nucleotides) under uncultured bacterium. Its description in RNAcentral is "partial 16S ribosomal RNA". It matches the Rfam family "Bacterial small subunit ribosomal RNA", at positions 338 to 675 of the family's 1533-position model. The record is from RNAcentral.